This 509-nucleotide ribosomal RNA is filed under the name Myceliophthora lutea. RNAcentral's name for it is "eukaryotic LSU rRNA". It matches the Rfam family "Eukaryotic large subunit ribosomal RNA", at positions 81 to 602 of the family's 3401-position model. The record is from RNAcentral. Lineage: Eukaryota; Fungi; Ascomycota; Sordariomycetes; Sordariales; Chaetomiaceae.
UAGUAACGGCGAGUGAAGCGGCAACAGCUCAAAUUUGAAAUCUGGCUUCGGCCCGAGUUGUAAUUUGCAGAGGAAGCUUUAGGCGCGGCACCUUCUGAGUCCCCUGGAACGGGGCGCCAUAGAGGGUGAGAGCCCCGUAUAGUUGGAUGCCUAGCCUGUGUAAAGCUCCUUCGACGAGUCGAGUAGUUUGGGAAUGCUGCUCAAAAUGGGAGGUAAAUUUCUUCUAAAGCUAAAUACCGGCCAGAGACCGAUAGCGCACAAGUAGAGUGAUCGAAAGAUGAAAAGCACUUUGAAAAGAGGGUUAAAUAGCACGUGAAAUUGUUGAAAGGGAAGCGCUUGUGACCAGACUUGCGCCGGGCUGAUCAUCCGGUGUUCUCACCGGUGCACUCUGCCCGGCUCAGGCCAGCAUCGGUUCUAGCGGGGGGAUAAAGGCCCCGGGAAUGUAGCUCCCACGGGAAUGGUAUAGCCCGGGGCGUAAUGCCCUCGCGGGGACCGAGGUUCGCGCAUCU